RNAcentral lists this long non-coding RNA (1019 nucleotides) under Rattus norvegicus (Norway rat). RNAcentral describes it as "long non-coding RNA NONRATT013761". Lineage: Eukaryota; Metazoa; Chordata; Mammalia; Rodentia; Muridae. The record is from RNAcentral.
CAGGAGCCCUUUCUAUCUAAGCCAGACAACACAGUAGGCAUGUCUCCUUAGGUAUGGAUGUGCUGAAUGAGGCCAUUGGUACCCUCACUGGCCGUGGGGACCGGAAAACCUGGGUCCCCGCUAUGCUCAGUGUGUCUGACUCUCUGAUGACUGCACAUCCUAUUCAGGUACGACUAAAGGGUGAAGUUUGGGGCCUUGGAGGGUAAGCAGGCAUGUCGAGGUGGGGGUGUGUGUGUCUUUACUUAGUUCUGGAAGUAUUGGGUCUGGCCAUUGCUUAGUUUGUAGUGAUUAUGCUUUAUGUGGGCAGGCAGAGGCUGGUGCAGAGGAAGAGCCACUGUGGCAGUGUCCUGUUCGCCUUGUAACCUUUAUUGGUGUUGGCCAUGAUCCGCAUACCUUUGGCCUCAUCGCUGAUCUUGGUUGUCAGAGCUUCCAGUGUGCAGCUUUCUGGUGCCAACCUCAUGCUGGGGGACUCUCUGAAGCUGUGCAAGCUGCCUGCAUGGUUCAGUACCAGAAGUGUCUAGUGGCCUCAGCAGCUCGGGGUAAGGCCUGGGGUGCUCAGGCUCGCGCUCGCCUGCGGCUCAAGCGGACCAGCUCCAUGGACUCCCCAGGCGGCCCCCUUCCUCCCCCUCUACUCAAAGGAGGGGUUGGGGGUGCUGGAGCAGCUCCUCGAAAGCGGGGUGUCUUCUCAUUUCUUGAUGCCUUCAGGCUAAAACCUUCUCUUCUCCAUAUGUCCUAAAUUGAUCUUAGAGGGCUGGGGAAAGAGGCUCUAUACUCUUCCAGUCCCUAGGGUUCUGUAGCCUCUCACCUUCCUGCCAUCCCUGAUCCUUGCCUACUCUGUAUUUAUGACCAAGUUCGUUGUUUAUAUGGAUGACUGAGAGGCCCUGCACUCUAACUUAGGCCUGUAGCACCACUUUCCUUUGGUCCUUUUGUUCCUUGCCCCUGUCCAGCCCUGGACAAUUGGCUCUACCUCAUCAACUUUAUAGCAGAAUCAGUGAAAAUAAAAAUCCCUCAGUAAUCUC